RNAcentral lists this unclassified non-coding RNA (321 nucleotides) under Hevea brasiliensis (rubber tree). The record is from RNAcentral. Lineage: Eukaryota; Viridiplantae; Streptophyta; Magnoliopsida; Malpighiales; Euphorbiaceae.
UCCUUCUCUGUAUGCAAUAGAAGCCAAACCAAGUUGUUGUUACUUUGCAAGAACUUGCUUGAGCUGUUGUUUUUAAGGACUGGUUAUUGGAAAUCCUUGCUAGAUAAGCCAUAUCACCACCGCGGACAUGAAUAUCUGUAUAAUCACGGGUUUUUGUAUAAUAUUGCAAAUCAGCUCUAUGACAAAAAGCAAUCUUUUCUGAUAUAUUCAAUUCCUCAACCAGAUAGGUCUUCCCCUGGUGCAUAUAGACUGCCCCCUCAUAUACCUGAAAGAAAGCCUUGCUUUCCUCUAUCUCUUCAAGGACUUUGUUCUGUUUUUUGU